CAAGCAGUGGAGUAUGUGGUUUAAUUUGAAGCAACGCGAAGAACCUUACCAGGUCUUGACAUCCUACUAACGAGAUAGAGAUAUGUUAGGUGCCCUUCGGGGAAAGUAGAGACAGGUGGUGCAUGGUUGUCGUCAGCUCGUGUCGUGAGAUGUUGGGUUAAGUCCCGCAACGAGCGCAACCCUUGCUAUUAGUGCUACGCAAGAG
Molecule: ribosomal RNA, 205 nt
Filed under: uncultured bacterium
Lineage: Bacteria
Description: partial 16S ribosomal RNA
Rfam family: Bacterial small subunit ribosomal RNA
Source: RNAcentral